Molecule: ribosomal RNA, 497 nt
Filed under: uncultured bacterium
Lineage: Bacteria
Description: partial 16S ribosomal RNA
Rfam family: Bacterial small subunit ribosomal RNA
Source: RNAcentral
GAUGAACGCUGGCGGCGUGCCUAAUACAUGCAAGUCGAGCGAACAGAUGAGGAGCUUGCUCCUCUGACGUUAGCGGCGGACGGGUGAGUAACACGUGGAUAACCUACCUAUAAGACUGGGAUAACUUCGGGAAACCGGAGCUAAUACCGGAUAAUAUAUUGAACCGCAUGGUUCAAUAGUGAAAGACGGUUUUGCUGUCACUUAUAGAUGGAUCCGCGCCGCAUUAGCUAGUUGGGAAGGUAACGGCUUACCAAGGCAACGAUGCGUAGCCGACCGGAGAGGGGGAUCGGCCACCCGAGAACUGGACCACGGUCCAGACUCCUACGGGAGGCAGCAGUAGGGAAUCUUCCGCAAUGGGCGGAAGCCUGACGGAGCAACGCCGCGUGAGUUAUGAAGGUCUUCGGAUCGUAAAACUCUGUUAUUAGUGAAGAACAAAUGUGUAAGUAACUAUGCACGUCUUGACGGUACCUAAUCAGAAAGCCACGGCUAACUACGUG